This 253-nucleotide ribosomal RNA is filed under the name uncultured bacterium. Its description in RNAcentral is "partial 16S ribosomal RNA". It matches the Rfam family "Bacterial small subunit ribosomal RNA", at positions 524 to 776 of the family's 1533-position model. The record is from RNAcentral.
UACGUAGGGGGCAAGCGUUGUCCGGAAUCAUUGGGCGUAAAGAGCGCGUAGGCGGCCCUGUAAGUCCGCUGUGAAAGUCAAGGGCUCAACCCUUGAAUGCCGGUGGAUACUGCAGGGCUAGAGUACGGAAGAGGCGAGUGGAAUUCCUGGUGUAGCGGUGGAAUGCGCAGAUAUCAGGAGGAACACCAAUAGCGAAGGCAGCUCGCUGGGACGUUACUGACACUGAGGCGCGAAAGCGUGGGGAGCGAACAGG